This 1848-nucleotide long non-coding RNA is filed under the name Sus scrofa (pig). Its description in RNAcentral is "lncRNA (ENSSSCG00025003617.1)". Lineage: Eukaryota; Metazoa; Chordata; Mammalia; Artiodactyla; Suidae. The record is from RNAcentral.
GGGGGGAGGAGACGGGAUUGUCUGCCAGACUUUGUUGAGAAAAUACAUGGCAGUUACACCUGACCAGAAAACCAUCUGCCUCUGCCUCGUGGACACACGGCCAAGGCCGGGAUCGGCAUGGGAUGCUCCGACUCAGAAAGCUCUCAGCUAGAGGAUGUCCCAGAAGAGAAAUGGCCGAUUUAGAGCGACUGAGGAAUACCUAUCCUUUGAAACAAAUAUUUAUUUUUUAAUGAUUUUUUUUUCUGGGAAACUGACAGGUCUUGAGAGACAGGAAACGCAUCCAGGUUCUGGGAAGGAGUCAUCCUCUCCAAUCAUAGGAGGUGUAGACACAAGAGCAGGAGUCUGAGCGCCCUGCCGAAAACAGAACUGAAAAUGUGCGAAUGAUUAUCACCGUUGUAAGAAUGAUUAUUACCGUUAACGAGAAUCAGUAUUAUUUUUGCUCACUUCGUACUCUGUUGUCUGGCACACAACGGGUAUUCCAAAAACAGCAACUCUCUGUCAUGACUAUUAUUAAGGCUGUAUUUGAACCUUCACUCCUUAGCUGAGGACCUGGGACACAGGAGGUGCUUAAUAAAUGCCUAUUGAAUACCUGAAUGAAUACCAGGUGCACGAGGUGCUGGGCCGCCGACUCUUCAGAGAUAAGGAUGCUCUUACGCUUUCUUUGGCUCGGCUGUGAAGGAUGCUGCUACGGGCCUGAAAAGUGGGUCCGCUGCCCCGAAGGCUCCCCGGGGAAAAUCAUCGUAGCUGUAGACACUGUCUGUGGAGCCAGGACUGGAGUAAGCUUUUCGAGCCCUCAGAUUCCCUCCUCGCCAAGGACUGAGCGAGCUUGGCAGGAGGCUGGAGGCUGAUCCUAUAAGGUAGAAUUUAUUAUUCCCCUUUAAGAUGAAGUUAAGUCUAAAAAAGUUAAAAAAAAAAAAAAAAAAAAAAAAAAAAAAAAAAAAAACAGAGGAACUCAGGUUUGUUUGGGGAGGCAGGGGUUGGUUUUUUUUUUUUAACAGUUUUUUAUUUUGCUUCUUGUAUUGCAUCUUUUUUUAAUUACUCAAUGAAUUUUAUUACAUUUAUAGUUGUACAACAAUCAUCACAACCAAAUUUUAUAGCAUUUCCAUCCCAAACCCUCAGUGCAUCCCUCCACCCCCUAACCUGUCUCAUUUGGAAACUGUAAGUUUGUCAAAGUCUGUGAGUCAGUAUCUGUUCUGCAAAGAAGUUCAUUGUGUCCUUUUUUUAGAUUCCACAUGUAAGCGAUGGCAUUUGAUGUUAGUCUGUCAUUGUCUGACUGACUUCACUUAGCAUGAUAAUUUCUAAGUCCAUCCAUGUUGCUGCAAAUGCCAUUAUUUCUUUCCUUUUCAUGGCUGAGUAAUAUUCCAUUGUGUACAUGUAUGGAACUCAAGUUUGAAACCAAUUUCUCUGACUCCAAACAUCAGCCUUCCCUAAACACUAGUACUUCCAAUGGAGGGAAAUGAAAGGUCAGACAUUCCAUAUUUUUCCAUGAAGGACUAAAUAGAUCUCUGGUUUGUGUGCCCUUGGAGAAGGUCUUAAGGGGUGCAGUGUUUGGUGUUUUUUUUCCCUUUUCACCUUUCCUCCUAACUGUCCAUUCGCCUGAUUCUGUCACAUGAACACUCUGGGCACCUUCUCUUAUGAGUCCCUGCCGUUCCCACAUUGUGGCUCCUGGAACCCCCUUUCCCAUCUCUGAAACAGAACAAAAAACUCAGGCCAAAAGCAAAGAAAUUGGCUUCACAUCUGUAACCGCACUGAUGAGCCACGGAGCUUUGGAAAAAUGACUUCACGUCUGUGAUCCUCAAUUUCUUUUUCCUCAGCCAAGAACUAAGUGAAGCUACCAUCUUACAGCAC